UUACCGUGUUGAUAGAUAUUGUGUGCGUUUAUUGUGUGCUUAUCGUACUUGACAUUCGUCGACUGGAUAUUUUGCGCGUUUCGGAACGUCCUCCCGCAAGUGGGGGAUGAUGCAUCGUCGUUCGUCGCCACUCAGAACAGCCUCAUCGGACGCGCAGCUUUGUCUCCGCGCUCAAAAGUGCUUUCUUGCUUCGUUUAUCGAUUACUCACGUUAAUCGCGUGAUUCAAUAUCGAGUGUACCUCCAAAGACAAUCCACUUCCCAGUGUUGUGACAAGCGGCGACCGCGGUUGUACAGGAGCGGAAGCGUGAGCCUUUUGACGAGCGACUGUGAAGAAUGCAAAGCCAGUGCCAAACUUCGGAACCGAUAGCCCGGGCGGCGUGUUGGCACAGCGAGGAUGAGAACGAGAGACCCGAUAGACACCGAUGACAGCUGUUCACGGCACCGACACAGAGGACAGAUUGCAGUGCAAGAUAGGAGCGGUCUUCCUGCAAGCCCAGACAAGCCAUAUUGAGUGGUUUCAAAUACAGCAACUGCACCACCACGACAGUGCAGCACAAGAGACCCUAUCAUCAGUGCUGAGUCAGAAAUUAAAUAGAAAAGCGCUUUCUUCUGAAAUCUUUCGCCUGGUCUUAUUUCGUUUGUUUGUGAUUGCAAAAGAGCUCUUUCGUAGGAAAUACAAAAUUUAACUAACUAGCCCCAUUUAUUGUCCUAUAGAAACUAAAUAGGUUGACAAUUUAGCGCUCGUUUACA
Long non-coding RNA from Rhipicephalus sanguineus (brown dog tick), 751 nucleotides. RefSeq lists it as uncharacterized. The record is from RefSeq and is a predicted model, not a curated record. The transcript is spliced from 4 exons. Lineage: Eukaryota; Metazoa; Arthropoda; Arachnida; Ixodida; Ixodidae.